Long non-coding RNA from Myotis myotis, 696 nucleotides. RefSeq lists it as uncharacterized. The transcript is spliced from 4 exons. Lineage: Eukaryota; Metazoa; Chordata; Mammalia; Chiroptera; Vespertilionidae. The record is from RefSeq and is a predicted model, not a curated record.
UCAAUUGGAAAAAAAGAGAAGAUUAGGGCACAGAAACACAGAUGGAGGGACACCAUGUGAAGACACAAGAAAAAGGUGGCCAUUAGCAAGCCAAGGAGAGAGGCCUCAGAAGAAAACCAACCUUUUAACACCUUGAUCUUGGACUACUAGCCUCCAGAACUAUGAGAAAAUAAAUUUCUGCGCUUAAGUUGCAAUUUCAUCUGCACAGAAAAAGAACUCUGGUAGCUUCUGCCAGACUUUCAGUAGGAAAUGCUUUAAAAACAAGCAACAGCUAUUUUGAGGACCGACUUUCUAAAAUUAUAUUCAGGAUCAAGCGGCUGUAACAUUGCCGUUCGCCGCCGAGGCUCCUGGUUUCAGCAUGUCUCCUUGGUUCCCGGCCAGCCUGGGUGUUCAGGUGGCAGCUGUGCCUGGGAGUGCCUCUCCAGCCCGCAUUCCUUGGCCAUGAAUUUUGCAGCCCUGCUUAUCUGAUGAAGACCUCCCUAGGAGGCAUCUCUACUCUUUUCCAGCUUGCUAAGGACACAGUGGGGAGAUGAUGAGCCAGGAAGAUUGCUCUCAUUGGAACCCCAAUGCUGGCACCCUGAUCUUGGAUGUCCAGUCACCUGAACUAUGAAAAAAUAAACUUCUGUUGUUUAAGCACCCAAUCUAUGGGAUUUUGUUAUGACAGCCAGAGCUGACUGAUACAAUCUCUCAGAUUUA